Molecule: unclassified non-coding RNA, 125 nt
Filed under: Gomphrena fuscipellita
Lineage: Eukaryota; Viridiplantae; Streptophyta; Magnoliopsida; Caryophyllales; Amaranthaceae
Description: ITS1
Source: RNAcentral
UGCCCCGUGACACAAUAACCAAACCCCGGCGCGUUAUGCGUCAAGGAAUAUAAUCAUGAGUUUGUCCAUCCAUAUGAUCGGGUUUCCGGUGUAUGGGUGUGACACCAAUGUAAGUCAUAAAAUGA